AGAUUUUAAAUCUGGAUACAAUGCUUUCCUGACCUAAUGAAAACUACAAUAUAAAUUGUAUUAUUGAUGUCACCUAGAUGGUAGGUAUGAUAUAAUGGCCCUGAAUGCAUUUUUUAUAUGAAUGAAAAUCAGUGUAAAAAUUCUGUUGUUAUGCACCCCAGAUGGAAUUACCAAAUUGCGAAUUUGGGUUUGAUUCUCUUGUGAUUACUUGAAUAAUUAGAUGUGGCAAAGGUAUGAGACAUUGCAUUUGAUAUACUUAGUUUGCUGGAACUUCAAAAUAAAUUGUACUUGUGACCUUGCACUUUUAUUGUCAAAAUCAUGAAUAGUGGUUCUUGAAAGUGUAUAUUCUUUGAAUUUGAUGUAGACUACCUUAAAGACUCCUUCCUUGAAUCUUGAAUCUUGAAUGAUGACAAUUUCCAGAACUAUGAGAUUUGUGAAAACUUUGUUUAUUGUGACUUACAAAUGUACCAACUAUCUUGCAGUUUUUUUAUCAUAAUUGUUGUAUUACUGUAUGGAAUUUGAUGUGGUGGUGGCUCUUAAAACAUAAUUCAACUGUUGUUCUAACUCUCGGAACUUUCCUACUAGUUCACAACAGCUUUCGCAUUUCAAGUCGCACAUAUAGAGAAACCUUCACUUGCAGACACUUUUAGGCGUCAGAUUUUUUCCACUCGUUAUUACAAUUUAUACAUGAGUUAUACUUGGAUAUUAAUUAUGAUUAGCUCAAACUUUCUUUACCCUCGGAAGGCAUUUGUUAGAGGAUAAAUAUUUAUUUUCCAGGAAUCAUAGGUCGAUAGACUUAGUUUCCCAUGUUUGAUAUCUAUUUUAAAAGAAAUAAAAUUCCUAGGAAAAUUCCAUGUUUGAUAGUUCUAUGGAAGUUAAACGAAACAUUGAUAUUUUAGUUCUCUGUGCUUUUCAUUUUUUAUGGAUGCCAUUCAGGUUUUUGUCAGGGAUAUUUACCUUCUAUUGCAUUUUAUGCCAAAUAAAAAUAUGUCAUGGAAGGAAAUUAUUUGUGGUUCUGAUAUCUUAUAUAUGAUUCACAAUAAGAAAAGCCUUUUACCCACAAUAAAGUUUGUAAGGAAGUCCUUUUUGUGAUGUCGAAUACUUAUGGGCCUUCUGGGUUUCACUAUUUCUAUUGUUAUAGUCUAGUUUUCAUUGCUUACACAUAAUUUUUUCUUACGUUUUUGUGCUUUUACUCUGGCUUGUAGCAGCAACGGUAUAUAAUUUGUCGCAUUCUGAUUGCUUAUAAU
RNAcentral lists this long non-coding RNA (1247 nucleotides) under Glycine max (soybean). Its description in RNAcentral is "long non-coding RNA (GMAX_LNC002957)". The record is from RNAcentral. Lineage: Eukaryota; Viridiplantae; Streptophyta; Magnoliopsida; Fabales; Fabaceae.